CCCAGUGUUCCCAUUUACAGAAUUCAGUGCUUCAGUGACCAUGGUUUCUCCUCUGCGAAGGCCCUCCUGUUGCCUUAGAAAAUUAUCAUCCCGUUUACUUAAUUAGGCUGACUCCAAGCUUUAGGCAUCGGCCUGCCAAGAUGAUGCACACAGCGUAUGACACCUGUCAGUUGACUUCAAUGACUGCUCACCACUUCUUCGUGUUCUGCACCUCCCACAAGUCAGCUCCACAGAUGUGUCAGGAACGCUUCCUGAUGACUGCAUUGUAACAAAUGUGCAGGUGAGGUCAGAAGCUAUUUAU
Molecule: long non-coding RNA, 301 nt
Filed under: Gallus gallus (chicken)
Lineage: Eukaryota; Metazoa; Chordata; Aves; Galliformes; Phasianidae
Description: long non-coding RNA NONGGAT001278
Source: RNAcentral